This 511-nucleotide ribosomal RNA is filed under the name uncultured bacterium. RNAcentral's name for it is "partial 16S ribosomal RNA". It matches the Rfam family "Bacterial small subunit ribosomal RNA", at positions 355 to 883 of the family's 1533-position model. The record is from RNAcentral.
UGGGGAAUAUUGGACAAUGGGGGCAACCCUGAUCCAGCAAUGCCGCGUGUGUGAAGAAGGUCUUCGGAUUGUAAAGCACUUUCGACGGGAACGAUGAUGACGGUACCCGUAGAAGAAGCCCCGGCUAACUUCGUGCCAGCAGCCGCGGUAAUACGAAGGGGGCUAGCGUUGCUCGGAAUGACUGGGCGUAAAGGGCGUGUAGGCGGUUUACACAGUCAGAUGUGAAAUCCCCGGGCUUAACCUGGGAGCUGCAUUUGAUACGUGUAGACUAGAGUGUGAGAGAGGGUUGUGGAAUUCCCAGUGUAGAGGUGAAAUUCGUAGAUAUUGGGAAGAACACCGGUGGCGAAGGCGGCAACCUGGCUCAUGACUGACGCUGAGGCGCGAAAGCGUGGGGAGCAAACAGGAUUAGAUACCCUGGUAGUCCACGCUGUAAACGAUGUGUGCUAGAUGUUGGGUAACUUUGUUAUUCGGUGUCGCAGUUAACGCGUUAAGCACACCGCCUGGGGAGUAC